This is a ribosomal RNA of Phytophthora infestans T30-4, 86 nucleotides long. Lineage: Eukaryota; Oomycota; Peronosporomycetes; Peronosporales; Peronosporaceae. The record is from RefSeq and is a predicted model, not a curated record.
ACCUGGUUGAUCCUGCCAGUAGUCAUACGCUUGUCUCAAAGAUUAACCCAUGCAUGUCUAAGUAUAAACAAUUUAGUACUGUGAAA